UACAAACGAUACAAAAACAUCGUUGGAGUCAGUGGAAAAUGUAUCGAAUAUUUUUGUUUAUUCUAGCCACUCUAGUGGCCCAAAUCGAGGGGCCACAAUCGGAUCGAUCCGCUUACGUGGACAAAAUGGAAUGCGGUGACUGCAAGCAGGUGAAUCUGGAAUGCCAAAUUGUAUCCUCGGGAUACUACUGUCGCGAGUCAGAGGACACUGAUGAUUGAUGAACGGAAAGAGGCGGCAGCAGAAAAUCGCAAACAUUUGCACAGUUUCAUGGCCUCCGGGCAUUUCUUUCUUAAAGGUGAGGAAAUCUCAUCGGCUUGCUGUUUUUGGACGCCUCAAAUUGGCUGCCAGCAGGUGAAAAAUAAACAGCGGACAAAGCCCUGCUCCGAUUGUGCCACAUACCACGAAAGGGGCUCGUUCCUGGAUCAAAAUCCGAUGGGCUGUCCAUGUGGACCAC
Drosophila guanche is the source of this 454-nucleotide long non-coding RNA. RefSeq lists it as uncharacterized. The transcript is spliced from 2 exons. The record is from RefSeq and is a predicted model, not a curated record. NCBI's taxonomy places the organism in Eukaryota, Metazoa, Arthropoda, Insecta, Diptera, Drosophilidae.